UGGAUAAUUUUAUUCAUCAAAUUUCAUUACCAAUAAAUGUAACAAGUACUUCUCCUUCAACAUUCCUAAGAAAAUAAAUCAUUCAGCAUAAAUACAUAUUCCAAAAGUUUUAAACAAAUAACAAAUCACUGUUUGUCCAAAAUAUUUACAAAAUGUCAAAAUUUUGCAACACUUGAUUCCUUCGCACAUUCGCAGCAUCCAAAAUCCAUUGACAAACAUAUUGCUCCCUAAACUGUUGGAGUUCAUCUUGCAAAAACAAAAAAGCACAACAUUUGAAUAAAAUGCAACAUUUAUAUCAAAGGUUCACAAGAUGGAAAUUUUUUCAACUUACAUUUGUAUAAGUGGACAUUGUGUUUCCAUUGUAUUUCUCAAUUCCAUCCCAUAACUUCAUAAUUUUUAAAACAAUUAUUCCACAAUCAAACCAAACCAACGUCAAAAUUUAUUUCUUCGUGACUAAGCUUACAAGACAACUAUUUUGCUAAAAUAUCCCAAAAAUAAAUCUUGAGGCCACAUACACACAAAAGAAUGAUAUGGGAAAGGAACCAUGAAGGAGGCAUGCAAUGGAUCCAUGCCUAGCACAAAAGGCCAAUGUGAGGAUGGAAAAAAAAAGUGACAAACCUCUUUAAAAGGAAAUAACAACUCAUUAAAUAGUAGUUUCUUAACUGAACCCGAUCAGACAAAAGUAAAUAAUUAUGCUGAUAUUCGAGGUGAGAGUAAUGAGGUCGAACAUGAGGUUUGUCCUUACAAGAUUCUUAUUAACUAAAGUGUAAUUUUUUUCUUUUUUUUUCUUUUAUCUGUCACCAACUUUAACCGCUGAAAUGUAGUUAGUUUAUCAAAAGAUUGUAUGAUUGAAUUAAAUUAAUCACUAAAUAUAUUCCAAUCUAGCCACCCAUUAAAACGAUAUAUGCAGUUUCUAAAUUGGUUCCAGUAUGUUAAAACGAUAAAAUAAAAAAAAUUAUGACCAAAUAGCGUCACUAAAUAUUUCUACACUGAAAAUUUUGCUGUUAGAAUUUGUCACCUUUUAAAUUUGGUGGUUAAUUCAAUCACUAAAAUAAAUAGUGACUGAUUUUUGUCAUCAGGGACUGUUUUUUUUUGUCUUUAUAUUAACUUUUUUAAAGCGAAAUUACUCACUUUGAGUAGAAGCAUAUAAAAUUUUAUCAUGACAAUAUUGGCAAAACUAAUUACAUGUAAAAAAAAUGAAAGAUCCAUAAACAUUAAACCUUAAUAUUCAAUACUUUAGUGUCUCACUGGAAUAAAAUACAAUCAAGUCUGGUUGUGAUAAGAAAUAGCUAUAUUUAGGGAUAGAUGAAAAAUGUGUUGACAAAUUCCAACCAAUCUUCUAAUAAUAUUGAUUAAAGUAUUAAAAAAUAUAUUUUUUAUUUGGAUGUUAAGGAAUGUGCCCUCUUCCUUUUAAUUCUUCAACCAAUAUUUUUAGGAUACAAGUUAAUAAGAUUUUUAAUGCUUAUGUAUAGAUCAUAAGGAGUUCAUAACAAUAUUUCUAGGUCGAUGUCAGUUUCCUUUCAACAUUGUUUUUAAGUCAAUUCUUAAAAGAGAUGUAUGUGGCUAAAGUUUAUUCAUUUUUUACUUUGGUGUAAUACUUCCUACUGCAGGUUAUGUUGAAUUUUUUCAAGGAUUUUGAAACAAAGCUUGGCAUCAAGAUCACGUGUUCUCAAGAAACUGAGCCACUAGGAACAGCAGGUCCCCUGGCUCUUGCUAUGGAUAAGUUGAUAGAUGACUCUGGAGAACCCUUUUUUGUUCUCACCAGUGAUGUUAUCAGUGAGUAUCAACUUAAAGAGAUGAUUGAAUUCUAUAAAGGCCACGGAGGAGAGGCUUCCAUAAUGGUAACAAAGGUAAGUGUUUUGACAAAAAGUAAUUCUCAUUUAAAUAUAUUAAAAAGUAAUUUACAUAUUUGUCAUUUGUUAGUAUGUCAAUCUGUCCAUGUCAAACGCUUAAGGCACUCCUCGUCUGUAUGAAAUGAAGAUGUUACAAGACCCAAAAAGGUUGAUUCAAUAGCUCAUCACCGGAAACAGUUGUAUGGUAAAUCAAACAAAUUUGUUGUACAGACUCUGUAGAGUUUUAGAUCAGUUAACAAUGGGAUACCAUCUUGGAACACUUAUUGAUAUUUUUAUAAAGUGCUAAUGGACAGCUUAGCUUCUUACACAAAUUACAGAAAUACUAAAAAACUAAUUUCAGAAACUCACGAUAUUUUUCCUACUAAGUGAUAAACCAAUCUAACAUUGAUAAAGCAUUUCAAUUUAUGUUUCUUUUGGCAAUAGCAGGCAAUUAAUGGGUGAAGAACUAACGGGUUUGGUAUCAAAGAACUACAAAGAACUCACCUUGCUUUGGGUUUAGGGUUCUACCGUCGAGCAAAUGGAACCGCAAUUCUCAGUGGAUGGAAGACGGCGGAUGGGAGGAGGGUCUCCGACGGUGGUAGUGCAUCCCUGGGGCGGUCACCGGUGGGCUCGAGUUGGCCAAGGCAGGUGGCGGCUGGUUCUCCAACGCGCUUUUAGGGUUCUGCCGUGAACAAAUGGAAUCGCGAUUCUUGGUGGAUGAAAGACAGCGGACGGACGACGGGUCUCUGGCGGCGGCAGUGCGGCGACGAUCGUCAUCGAUGGGCACAAAAUGUUCAGCGGCGGGUUUGCGAAAUGGACACAGGAUUUGGUUUGCGAAAUGUAUAUCAAAUUUAAAAUUUGGGACUUUCUCUCUCUGCUCCACGUCAACGUUUCAUUUAAAAAUCAAAUUUCAGCUGGACGAAUCACAUUUAGACACGUGUCCUGUGUCUAAAUGUUGUUCAAAAGUGUUGUUCAUAUAUCAUUUUCCUAAGUAAAAAAUUCUGCAUUUCUGUAUAGACUACAUUAGUUUUAAUAUAGAGUUUCUUUUUUCUUUCUUUUGCUAAAACGGAAGUAGUCAUAUUAACCUACAAAAUUAUACUGUAACUUUUUUUAUACAUGUCAUAAAAACUUAAUUAUUGUUCCCAAAUGUUUGAAAAUAUAAUAUCUUACUUAUAUUACAACUCUAUCAAAACAGAAUAAACAAAAACAAAUAUAUAAUUUAUGCUUAUGCUAUUUAAUUAAAGCCAAAAUUACAAAAACAGAAGUUAGAAAAUGAUAUUUAUCACACAAAAAACACAUGCAAAAAUUAAAAAGAAGUAUUUUGGUUAGUUACUUUGAAACAUGUGAACCAUUUCUCGUGUCGAAAACAUUACAGCUAACAAUCUAUUCUACUACAUAAUAAGGAUAAAAUUUUAUAAGGAUCAAGAGAUACAUAUUCGGCUAAAACAUCUUGAUCAUAUUUCUUUUAAGAAAUCAAUAGGAUAAAUAUUCAACGUCCUCUAACAACAAAAACAACUAAUGCAAAAGCAAAAACUGAGGAUAACACGGUCAACCUGUUAUUACUUUUGCAUGCCUCCACCAUAGAAACCACUUUCUACUUCAACUUCAUUAAACAAUUUCUUCAUGUUUUCCUUCUCAACUUUCUUUUUCCUCUAUGACACUUUUAUAACUCUCAACUUUUGAAAGCAAGUGCUUGUUUUCCUCUUCAAACUUCUUGUAUUCCUUUUCAAACUUUUUGUCACUCUCCUCCAAUAGGUUGUUAACGAAAACUGAAGUGACCAUGUUUUCUUUGUGGAGGGCCACGAUUUCACUAUAGGAGCGGUGUAGAGUGUUAAUAUCUUGGAGGCAAUUUUGAAUAUCUUCCAAUGAGAAAUUGUCAAUUAGGCUAGCCAUAGUUCGUGUUUCGAGAGUGUUUAGAUUAUUCUGAAUGAGACAUUUUCUUUUAUAAAGACGCAGAAGGAAAGAUGUUACUUUUUUUUUUUAUAAAGUUAUCUUCUUAUGACAACAGGUUACAUUUCUUUGUCGUAAGAAGAUAACGUGACCAAAAAGUAAACCCUUUUCUUCUACCUCGCUAUAAAAGAAAAUGUCUCAUUCAAAAUAACCCAAACACUCUUGAAACACAAACCAUGGUUAGUCUAAUCUACGAUUUUUCUCUGGAAGAGAUUCAAAAAUGCCUCCAAAAUAUUGAUACCCUUUAGUCGGAGUUACACCGCUUCUACGGCGAAAUCGUGACCCACUAUAAAGAAAACAUGGUUACUUUAGUUUUUCUUAACAACCUGUUGAGGAGAGUAACAAGAAGUUUGAAGAGGAAAACAAACAUUUGUUUUCAAAAGUUGAGAGUUAAAGAAGUGUUGUAGAAGAAGAGAGAGUCGAGAAAGAAAACAUGAAGAAAUUGUUUGAUAAGGAGAAGAAGAAGGUACAAAAGUUGGAGUAAAAGGUGGUUUAUAUGGUGGAAGCACACAAACGUAAGAAUAUGUGGAUCGUGUUUUCCUCAAAUUUUACUUCUGCAUUAGUUGUUUUUGUUGCUAGAGGACAAGACGUAAAUGUUCGGCUAAAACAUAAUUGUGAAUCGUGUUAUCCUAUUGAAAUUUUAUAAGGAUCAAGACAUAAAUGUUCGGCUAAAACAUCUUGAUCAUAUAACAAAAAAAAUAAGAUAUAAGUGGUUGUCAUAAUAUGCUUAUAUAUAUAUACAUAUAUAUAUAUAUAUUUAUAUAUAUAUAUGUAUAUAUAUAUAAGCAUAUUAUGACAACCACUUAUAUCUUAUUUUUUUUGUUAUAUGAUCAAGAUGUUUUAGCCGAAUAUAUAUAUAUAUGUGUGUAUAUGUGUGUAUGUUUGUAUUAUAUGUUGGUUUGAAUUAUAUUAUCACGUGAUUCUUAAAUUAUACUAGCUUUCUCUACUUUUCUGUUUUGUCAUGCUUACCCGUUCGGUCCUUUACAAUGAUCAUCCUGUGGAUGUGAGCAGGAGAACAAGAGGUCUCGUGGAACAAGCUCUGGAAGGAGAAAAUCCAUCAAUUUAGUACAGAUCGAACGAUCUUGUACAUGAUUUUGUAUUAGAUUAGGUUUCUAUUUAAAGUUUUACUUUUAUAGUUAUUUUUGGAUAACUGUACUAUUAAAUACUUUAACAACUUAUGGAUAAUUGAUCUAUUAUAUUAUUAUAUGUGAUUAUUUUAUAAUAUAGUUUAUACAAUAUUUUUGGGAUGUUAUAUUUAACAUAUUUUAAAUUACGUUUUUCAACAUAAUUUGAAAUACAUUUUUUCUUAAAGUCGGUUAAGAGUCCGUCUUUCGAAAGCUGGUUAAGGAAAAAACAUAUUUCGAACGAAGUUUUUUACUUAACCGGUUAUCGAAAUACGUCAAGUUCUUAAACCGAUUAAAGAAAAACAUAUAUUAAGGCUUUCACUUACCUUGAACCGCUUCCACAAAACGAAGGAGCAUACAAACUUGAAUGACCAAUUGCGACCAUGACAACUAGGACCACCACCACUAACAUAUUGCAGCGAGCGAAUAAGUAGAGAAAGAGGAAGAAGCAAAGAAGGAGACUAAGUGAGUGAAAGUUGAUAGUGAAAAGGAAAGGGUGCAAACUUUUUUUUUUUUUAAUUGGAUUGACAUAUUAAGGGCAGGAAGAAUUUUGAGAGGUGCAGGAAAAAGUACUCUAAGGAGGCAAAUCUAGGACAUGGACGUUAAGGUUGGUUAGUUGAGAACAAAAAUCGACACUUUGACCGAAUGGAGGGAAAAUGCAGAAAUAUGAGCAGAAGCAUGUAAGCAAGGGAGGGAAGAAAUCUUACUUAAAGAAGAAGUGUUACUGAAGACACUCCUACUCUUCCAAAUAUAAUUGAGUAAGAGUUUUAAAGGAAGUUUUUCAAUCUUUGAACUUUUAUAAUUUUAUUAAUGCUUCUCAUUUCUUGAGUCCAACCUUUACUUUUCAAAAUAUUUUACCUUCACUUUCACUCCCCAUUAAUUUUAACUGCACAAUAGUUUUUGAAAAAUCACAUUUUAGUUGUUGUCUACCAAGUUACAAAUAACUCAAGAUAUACAAAAUGAUUUUUUUUUAAAUAAUAUGGGUCUUAUUACUUUUGAAAAAUCUAAAGAAACUAGAACAAGAAAUGUUCAAUGCUUCACGAGGGAACAUUUCUUUUGAAUGUCUUCACAAAAGAACAUUGUUUUUAAAAAAGUAUGGAUAAUUCUCAUUCUUCACCUAAUGAAGAAAAAGUUUUAAAUUUUAUAAAAAAAUUAAAUUUUCUUAAAGAAAAUCUUUUCAAAAAUACGAAAAGAUUUAUUUGUUCUUUACAAAUACUUCGGUAUAAAUGAAUAAUUAAUUAAUUUUUUAUUUAAAAUUUAACAAUUUGUUAAAUUUUAAAUAAAAAAUUAAUUAUUAUUCGUAAUAGAUAAUGUCUUAAACUUCAAAUAUCACAUAAUAUAUAUAUAUAUAUAUAUAUAUAUAUAUAUAUAUAUAUAUAUAUAUAUAUAUAUAUAUAUAUAUAUAUAUAUAUAUAUAUACACACGUAUGUAUAUGUGUACAUGUAUGUAUGUACGUACGUAUAUGUGUACAUGUAGGUAUAUACGUAUGUGUACAUGUAUGUAUAUGUGUACAUGUAUGUACGUAUAUAUAUAUAUAUAUAUAUAUAUAUAUAUAUAUAUUCAUAUUCUGUGAUAUUUGAAAAACACAUGUAUAUAAUUCAAACCCAUCAAUUAUUCAUUUCAACAUAAAAAUAAAAUAAAAACACAUACUUGACAUGCGUAGAGACAAAUAUCUGCUGGAGCGAUUUGGAGACGAUCUAGCAUAUCUUCAACGAUGUCUGCUCCGUAUCGAAAGGAAACGUUGCUGGUCGUGCUAAAAAACAAAUCAAUUAGAGACAUCAUUGUCACAUAUUUUUAUGAUUAGGUUGUUUGAGUAGAGAUAUGACAGUGAGAAAAUCGUUCGUAUCUCAUACUUCUCUUUAUAAAAAGCAAAUAUCACAAUAUAACACACACAAAUAUGGCUAUCCCAUUCGAUAGGAUUCAAAGGUUCUAGGACAACUUUAUGGCCCAAUAUCAAGAGUUAAACAACAAGUAUGAUGAAGUUCUAAAGACCCGAGACGCACAAAACAGGGUCAAUUUAGAAUUGGUUGCCAACAUGAUAGUGAAGAUUGAGGAGAAGAAUGAAGAGAAAAAGAGACUGCUUGCAGAAAUUGAAUGUUAUAAAAAUUUUGUAGAUAAAGAAAAAGAUAAGCAGGAAGAGUGGAAGAAAAUGUAUGAUGAAAAAAAGAAGAAGUUUGAAAUGAUGGAGAAGGAAGUUAUUUCUGUGGAGGAGGAUUUCAAAAGUAAGUAUAUGUUAUCUGUGUUCUUUUCCAUUUUAGUUUCUGCAUUAACCAUUUUAGGUGUUGAUGUAGGGGACGUUAAUGUCUUCAUCUUAGUUGAUGUUUCAUCUUUAUUAUUAUGCUCUUUCUUAUUAUGCAAUAGGAUAGGUGGUUAAUGUAAUGUUUUUUGAAGACAUUAACGUCCCCUACAUCAACCCCUAAAAUGGCGUUGAUGUAGGGGACGUUAAUGUCUUCAAAAAACAUUACAUUAACCACCUAUCCUAUUGCAUAAUAAGAAAGAGCAUAAUAAGAAAGAGCAUAAUAAUAAAGAUGAAACAUCAACUAAGAUGAAGACAUUAACGUCCCCUACAUCAACGCCUAAAAUGGUUAAUGCAGAAACUAAAAUGGUAGAGAACACAAAUAACAUAUACUUACCUUUGAAAUCCUCCUUCACAGAAACAACUUCCUUUUCCAUCAUUUCAAACUUCUUCUUUUCUCCAUCAUACAUUUUCUUCCACUCUUCCGUCUCAUUUUUUUCUAUAUCUGCAAAAUUUUUAUAGCAUUCAAUUUCUGCAAGAAGCAUCUUUUCCUCCCUUCAUUCUUCUCAUCAAUCUCUUCUAUCAUCUUGGCAAGUAAUUCUGAUUUGACCUUGUUUUGUGCGUCUCGGGUCUCUAGAACUUCAUUAUACUUGCUGUUUAACUCCCGAUAUCGGGUCAUAACGUUGCCCUGGAACCUUCGAAUUCUAUGGAAUGGUAUAACUAUAUUUGUGUUUGUGUUAUAGUGUGAUAUUUGCUUUUUAUAGAGAGAAGUAGGAGAGAAGAACGAUUUCCUCAUUGCCAUAUCUCUACUCAAACAACCUAAUCAUAAAAAUAUGCGACAAUGAUGUCUCCAAUUGAUUUGUUUUUUAGCACGACUAGCAGCGUUUCCUUUCGGUACGGAGCUGAAGAUAUGUUAGACCGUCUCCAAAUCACUCCAGUAGAUAUUUGUCUCUAUGCAUGUCAAGUAUGUGUUUUUAUUAUUGGUUGCCAACAUGAUAGUGAAAAUAUUUUUAGUUUUUGAAUAUUUUAUAUUUUUUACGGUAUAUUUUUUAUAUAAGAAAGGGAAAAGGUUUUUAGCACAAGGUUUACGCGAACGGUCGCACAUGUGCUUUAAAUCCUUUGAAAUAAUUUUUGUUGAUUUUUUUGAAAGGAGAAGAAAAAGGUUUUUAGCACAAGGCCGACGGAAUGGUCGCACGUGUGCUUAAACCUUUUAAAAUAUUUUUUGUUAAUUUUUUGAAAGUAAAAGAAAAAGGUUUUGAGCACAAGGUCAACGGAAUGGUCGAACAUGUGCUUAAAACUUUUAAAAUAAAUUUUUAUUGAUUUUUCAAAAGAAGAAAAAGGUUUUCAGCACAAGGCCGACGAAAUGGUCGCACGUGUGCUUAAACCUUUUAAAAUAAAUUUUUGUUAAUUUUUUGAAAGAAGAAGAAAAAUGUUUUCAGCACAAGGCCGACAGAAUGGUCGAACGUAUGUUUAAACCUUCUAAAACAAAUUUUUGUUGUUUUUUGAAAGAAGAAGAAAAAGGUUUUCAGCACAAGGUCGACGGAAUGGUCGCACGUGUGCUCAAACCUUUUAAAAUAAAUUUUUGUUGAUUUUUUGAAAGAAGAAGACAAAGGUUUUCAGCACAAGGCCGAUAGAAUGGUUGCAUGUGUGUUUUAAACCUUUUAAAAUAAAUUUAUAUGGUUUUUUGGAAGAAGAAAAAAAAGGUUUUCAACACAAGGCCGACGGAAUGGUCACACCUGUGCUUAAACCUUUUAAAAUAAAUUUUGUUAAUUUUUGAAAGAAAAAACAAGAUUUUCAACACAAGGCCGACGGAAUGGUCGCACAUGUACUUAAACCUUUUUAAAAUAAUUUUUGUUCAAUUUUUUGAAAGAAAAAGAAAAAAAAUUUCAACACAAGACUGACGGAAUGGUCGCACGUGUGCUUAAACCUUUUAAAAUAAUUUUUGUUGAUUUAAUAUUUAUGAUAAAAAGAGAAAAUAAAAAUAAAAAUAAAAUAUAAUGAAAAGAUGGAAUAAGAUAAAAAGGGGUGUGGGGGUGCUUAAAUAAGAAAAAGAGGUGUAGAUUAAACUUAGUGCUAAUAACUAACUGGGCCAAAGCCCUAAUGGAAAAAUGGAGGUAAGAAAAUGAAACGGAUGGCUGCAAACCAAUUUAGUUCGUAUAACAGACUCGGCCUAGUGGACAGGCGGUGCGAAAGGGAAACAAAGGGGGUGCAGAAAGGAUUGUUUUUUAACAAGGCUUUUGCCCAAAAAGAAAGGAGGGCGUGAUAUUAGAACAAAAGGAGGUGCACGGAGGAAAGGGUUUUUUUUGUUUAUUUUUUUAAAAUGGCAUAAGGGCUCAGGCCCAAGACUCUUCAGCAGAAAAUUAGGGGUCCUCAAGCUGCCUCUCAUUUCAACAUUGCACCCCAUCGUCCCAGGGCCUCCUCUCUGAACGAGAAUGCCAGAGUAGAGUUCGCCUCCACCACUGACGAAGCCGACGAUCACAAGCCGCGAGCCAAGGCCGCUCCGGUGACGCUUCUCGCCGGCGGAGUCGUCGCCGGCAACCAGGUUUUCUCCUUCACCUUUUCGCGCGAGAGAAUCACCGUGCUCCUUCACGGCUCGUCUUCGCCGCUUCAACAAGGCCGGUCUCCGCCGCCGCCGUUCACGUCGGAGGAAGCCGCGUCGUGUACGACAAUUCAGUCUCUAAUUUCCCUCUCUUAACCCCAGGUGACCCUUGCCCCAACUGCGACCAACAGAGGUUGCCGCCACUCCAGACAAGCAGAGACUAAAGAUGGGUUUUUGAUUUCUGGUGGGUAUGCAUUUCUUGCUCAAGGAUUCGGUUCCUUCGUUGGUGAUUGGAGAUGAACAGCGGUGUGGGGGCUUAAGUUUCAAUAUCUGGUCUGGCUUUUGGGGUUUUGAUGUCUUAGUGUGUUUAUGGAUUUUGCUCUGUGUGCCUAUUGCUUAGGGGGUCAACUCCUGUGGCUUAAGGUGAACAGAGGCAAGGAGACCCAAUUUCAUGAUCUGACUUGUUUGGGGGGUUUUUUGUGGUUGGUGGGUGGACAUAGGCUGUCGACAUUGACAGAGAGUGAAGGAAUCGGAAGAGCUGUUUCAGUUUGUUGGGAUGAUGAUUUAUCUGCAGGGGGUUAUCGGAACUUGGACGGCAAUACAGGAUAUUGAUUCGCAAGUUUGGAUUAUACAAAGAGAGCACCGGUCUCUGAUUGUUGAAGGUGGUGAAGCAUGUUCAGGUUGUUGGGAUGAAUGGAAAACAAACCAUGUACAGAAGCAAAUCAUGCAUACUCAAUAUAAUAGCAAGUUCAAUGUGAGCAGUCAAAGCCAGGCAUUACCAAAUCAAAACAGAAGCAGAAACCCCAUUAAGAGUAGACUGUAAUCCUCUAACAUUCAUAACUUUGUGAGGGAUGAAGUUAAAGAGAACUUACCUUCUACGUUUACACUCUCUUCUCUCAAGUCCUUGUGAUCCUUUCUUAUGAUUCAACUCCACUUCUUUUCUUCAGUGGCCUUGGUGUUAGUCUAGAGAAAAACCAUUUUUCUUUGCUUCGUAAGUGUGAGGAGUGGUCAUCAAAAUGGAUUCUGUUUUUUUUGGUGGAAGUGAAUAAUAAUCUGUUGGAGGUGAAGAAUUGGGAGUAAAAGGGAAAUGUGGUCACGGGUGAGGGGAGCAGAGCAAGUCUAAAGGCAAAGGGGAGUCUCUGUUGAGUGAGAGAGUAGUGUCUCCGUUUUUUCUUGAUGCCCCUUUUUCUCUCUAGAAGUCGUUUCCUUUCUGCCAUUCAGCCCCUAAGGUUAGACUUAGAAUCAGAAUCCGCUUGGCAAAACCGCUGUCAAACGCCAUUCUUCUUUGAUGUAUAAUUGGUGACAGAAACCAUGGGGCACAGGGUUCUUUCCGGAAAACGGAAGUUUGAUUGCUUGUGGAGGCAUCUGUUGUUGUGUGUUGCAGGAAAGCUUAAUUCAUGUUUGCACGACUGAGAAUGGGAAGAAUGCAACACUCUGCCAUACCUUUUUUCUUUUCUUUUUUCCUUUGAAUUUUUUUUCUAACGUUUAACAUUAAAAAGAAACACAAAUAAAACUAAAUAAUAAAAGAAACUAAAGUAAAAUAAAACGAAAUAACUCUAAAUAACAAAAGGUAAAAUAAAAUAAAAAGUAAAAAUAGAAUUAAAAUACAAAAACUAAUAUCAAAAUGAAAACAAAAAAAAGAUAAAUAAAUAAAAUAAAAUAAAAUAAAUUAAAAUUAGGUAAUAUAACAAAAAUAAAAUGAUAAAAAAACAUAAGAUAAAAGAAAAAUAAUAUAUUUUUGUUAGCCGGACGAAAACGGAUGUUAAAUCAUAUUUGAAGUUUGAAACACUAUUAUCGCAAUGGGACGAAAAGAAAACGUUUCAGAAAAAGAGAUUUGGAGUCGUUUUCAUAGUUUAUUAUGAAAAACUACGAAAAAAACCAUAAAAUGAUAAGGUACGAUCUACGAAAACCAGAUUCUAGGUUCGGGAGUCGAUUACGUGUAGCAAAAGUAUUAGCACCCUAUAUCGCCUGCCCGAAGGCAAUAUCUUUAAUUAAAUACGCGAAUAUGGUGUAUCCGAAAAAGACAUUAUUAAGAAGCAAAAUAUAUUUUUUAGUUUUCUAAGAAAUUGUUGAGAAAGUUUAUUUGGAAAAUAUUUAGAUUUUUGGGAAGUGAACCUAAGAAAGACUAGCCUUGCUCCAAAGUAUCUUCACUUUGGAUGGAGAAUCAAGGAUCAAGUACUUUCCGUUGAAAAAUUGUUUGUUGUUUUAAAAUACU
Molecule: long non-coding RNA, 11896 nt
Filed under: Vigna radiata
Lineage: Eukaryota; Viridiplantae; Streptophyta; Magnoliopsida; Fabales; Fabaceae
Description: long non-coding RNA (VRAD_LNC009088)
Source: RNAcentral